RNAcentral lists this ribosomal RNA (287 nucleotides) under uncultured bacterium. RNAcentral's name for it is "partial 16S ribosomal RNA". It matches the Rfam family "Bacterial small subunit ribosomal RNA", at positions 334 to 636 of the family's 1533-position model. The record is from RNAcentral.
GUCACCUACGGGACGCAGCAGUGGGGAAUAUUGGGCAAUGGGCGAAAGCCUGACCCAGCAACGCCGCGUGAAGGAAGAAGGCUUUCGGGUUGUAAACUUCUUUUGACAGGGAAGAGCAGAAGACGGUACCUGUCGAAUAAGCCACGGCUAACUACGUGCCAGCAGCCGCGGUAAUACGUAGGUGGCAAGCGUUGUCCGGAUUUACUGGGUGUAAAGGGCGUGUAGCCGGGCUGACAAGUCAGAUGUGAAAUCCGGGGGCGCCACCCCCGAGCUGCAUUUGAAACUGU